Molecule: long non-coding RNA, 788 nt
Organism: Brassica rapa (field mustard)
Lineage: Eukaryota; Viridiplantae; Streptophyta; Magnoliopsida; Brassicales; Brassicaceae
Source: RefSeq, a predicted model, not a curated record
CCACAAGCUUACCUUGGAGAAGAGGAUCAGCUGAGGCCAUCUAGUCCUUUGGUUCGUCUUGGUCAGAGGUGGAGUAAGGCUUUAGGUAUCCAACCAGUUCCAAGACUAAUCUCUUAGGUGAGUCUAGAUAGAAGAUGAGACAGAUCAUGUAUGAGUACAUGAUUGACUUUAAAUUGUAGUAUCUCAAUUAGAUAGUCAAGUCUUUGAAUCCUUUGAGAAGUGUAUGGUGUUUACUUAGUGUAAACACUUACACUUGAAGAUUAAGCAAAAGGUUAAAGUGAGGUUAAUCAUAAUCAUAGUACUUGUUCUCAAGUACUAAUCUUAACUAUGAAAUAAUCAUGGUUUAAUUAAAGAUUAAUCAUGGUUUAAUUAAGAAUUAAUCUUGGUUUAAUUGAGAAUUAAUCUGAGAUUAAUUAAGGAGUAAUCAUGAUUAAUUAAGUACUAAUCUUGGAUUAAUUAAAGAUUAAUAUGAGAUUAAUUAAGGAUUAAUCUAGGAUUAAUUAAGAGUUAAUUAUGAUUAAUUAUAGAUUAAUUUGAAAUAAAUAUGGAAGUAAAAUAAUGUGAAGUAAAAUAAUGUGAAGUCUUGUUAUAUUCACUAUCCCUAAAGCCCCCGCAUUACCGUGACUUGGUCCUGCGAAUGGAACAAGGUCAUGAAGACACGAUGAUGGGGUAGCUCCCUGGAGACCGUGUACUGCAUGACGAUGCAGUGUCGGAUUGUUCAUACCGGACAUUCGACAAUGAUGGUGAUGCUAACUCACUAGUCUCGGUUAGCCUUAGUGGUUUCUCGG